AACGAACGCUGGCGGCAUGCCUAACACAUGCAAGUCGAACGAGACCUUCGGGUCUAGUGGCGCACGGGUGCGUAACGCGUGGGAACCUUCCCUUAGGUUCGGAAUAACUCCCCGAAAGGGGUGCUAAUACCGGAUAAUGUCUUCGGACCAAAGAUUUAUCGCCUUUGGAUGGGCCCGCGUUGGAUUAGCUCGUUGGUAGGGUAAAAGCCUACCAAGGCGACGAUCCAUAGCUUGUCUGAGAGGAUGAUCAGCCACACUGGGACUGAGACACGGCCCAGACUGCUACGGGCGGCAGCAGUGGGGAAUAUUGGAGAAUGGGCGAGAGCCUGAUCCAGCAAUGCCGGGUGAGUGAUGAAGGCCUUAGGGUUGUAAAGCUCUUUUACCCGGGAUGAUAAUGACAGUACCGGGAGAAUAAGCUCCGGCUAACUCCGUG
Molecule: ribosomal RNA, 433 nt
Filed under: uncultured bacterium
Lineage: Bacteria
Description: partial 16S ribosomal RNA
Rfam family: Bacterial small subunit ribosomal RNA
Source: RNAcentral